UGGGAUAGCUCACUAGGUAAAACAUGAUACUGUUAAUAUCAGGAUUGUGGGUUCAAGCCCCACAUUGGGCACAA
Non-coding RNA from Podarcis lilfordi (Lilford's wall lizard), 74 nucleotides. NCBI's taxonomy places the organism in Eukaryota, Metazoa, Chordata, Lepidosauria, Squamata, Lacertidae. The record is from the annotation of a GenBank genome assembly.